GUUUUUUUGCUAUUCGAAACAGUUAGUUCACUCUAGUUUUUAUGCGGUUCCUGCGCUUGCAGAAACUCCUAGCAGACUGCGCAGUAGACUAGGAGGAAAAUGUUGCUGUUGCAAGAUUUAAAAUAUUCCGAUAAAGAAUAUUCCAAAAUUAUAAUAAAAUAAUUAUGAUUAUCGAUUUUUUUCAAAAAGCUGAAAAUUAAAUUCAUAAAUGGUAAAAUCCUUUACGUACACACUUGUAUAAAAUUUGAAAAAUAAUAUUUUCUGAUUAUUGAUUGAAUGUAUUCAAACAAUUAAUCACAAGUAACUAUCUAAAUUGGUGACAUUUGGCAACAGUGAGUAGAUCUGGUUUAUUUAUGUAUGUUUAUUCCAAACAUAACCUUAUAAACAAACAGUUGUUUAUUUAGAGUUAUUUAUUAUUGUUUUCUCAUAUUUUGCAAUUGUUAAGUUGGUUUACUUCGAAUUUAAUGUGCAUUACUGUGGUAUUUCUCCAGUUUUCUAAGAAGGUUGGUGAUUUUGAAUUGGGAUUAUGAUGAAUUUAACCCAAAGGCAAUGUGUGUGUUUAUUUAUGUGGCAAAAUUCCAGGCACCAUAAAAAUUUGAGUUUCUUCCUGUUGCCCAUGGCACAGCCCCAUGGAUGAAAAUCGGUUUGCAGAAUGAAAAGAAAUUGUUCAAUGUGAUAAACUUUCUAUGAACAGUCCUCAGUGUUGUUACAUUAACUUUUAAAUAUGCAUCUUGAGGAGCAGGCCUUUGCAGAAAUACUGAAAAGCGGGUUGCAAAACAACGCAAAAUAAAAUAAACGAAAUAUGUCUUGGAAUGAUAAUUUUGUAAUUCUGUAGGCACAUCUAUUGAGAAGUUACAACCAGUGGCAAAGUGCCUUAAGGGAAUCUAUGACAUAUAUAAUUGAAGGUAUGAGUAUAUGUUUCAAAUCGUUGGAUGAUUCUGAGAAAGUGUAAAUUUUUUUCAUGAAUUUGGUACAUAACCGUCUUUAUCUAAACUCUAAAAAUCAUUGACAUCUGUUUUGAAGAACCAUGUUCCUAGAAACCAUUGAUAACAAAUAUAGACGGUUACCUCUGCAUUCGUUGUAUCAUCUUACUACUCUAUCCAUAGUGAGUCUAAUUUUUAAAUCUAUAAUAAUUGUUUACGUGCUGGUUUCAUAAAGAUGCUUCAAAAAUCUAUAUGGGCCUUACUAGGCAGCACAGCCAUGCCUUUAAUAGUUUUUCCAAUUAUAUUUUCAAUAUGCUUAUUCUAGUUAAGAUUGCGGGACAAAAAGACCACUAAAUAUUUGAGUUCAUUUUUAGGUAUCAGCAUUGGCUCUACAGCCCAUGGUGGGUCUUGGCCUGUUCCAGAAUCAGCUUCCACUCUUUCCUAUCCUUUGCUUGGCUUUCCAAUUUCUCACUCGAGCAUGAAUUUUUGGUAUAUAUGGGAUUAUAUUGUGAUAACGACCAGAUCUAUGAAAGAAUAGUAUGUUGUUAAAGAAGAUUGUGGUGACACUAUUCAUGAAUAUCUGAUAAUAUUGGUUAAUGUGAAUGGAGUCCAAAAUGGGGUUUAGGCUGUUAUAUAAAAAACUAGGUCAUUAGCAUAUGGAAGUAGGGCGACAUUAUCUGGUAUUAAAUUAUGUGAAUGAGGAGAAUUAAACCUAAAAACUCUAUUUAUUCUGCUAAUCAAUAUGAAUUUAAUAUAUUUUAAUAUAAAACAUAUGUUAUUCUUUCUAGGGACACCUCCUCUGAAGGAAUUACAAUUAUUUGCCAGUAUGUCAAAUGAAUUUUCAACAUCAGUCAUACUUUCAUGAAUUUAUUGAUGAAAAUAAAA
Molecule: long non-coding RNA, 1808 nt
Organism: Diabrotica virgifera virgifera (western corn rootworm)
Lineage: Eukaryota; Metazoa; Arthropoda; Insecta; Coleoptera; Chrysomelidae
Exons: 2
Source: RefSeq, a predicted model, not a curated record